Molecule: ribosomal RNA, 494 nt
Filed under: uncultured bacterium
Lineage: Bacteria
Description: partial 16S ribosomal RNA
Rfam family: Bacterial small subunit ribosomal RNA
Source: RNAcentral
GACGAACGCUGGCGGCGUGCUUAACACAUGCAAGUCGAACGGAAAGGCCUGCUUUCCCUUGUGGAUUGCGGGUACUCGAGUGGCGAACGGGUGAGUAACACGUGAGUGAUCUGCCCCCAACUUGGGUAUAAGCCUGGGAAACUGGGUCUAAUUCCCGAUAGGACUGCAGGGUGGUGCCUGUGGUGGGAAACGAUUUUCUAGUGGUUGGGGAUGAGCUCGCGGCCUAUCAGCUUGUUGGUGGGGUAAUGGCCUACCAAGGCGGCGACGGGUAGCCGGCCUGAGAGGGUGGACGGCCACAUUGGGACUGAGAUACGGCCCAGACUCCUACGGGAGGCAGCAGUGGGGAAUAUGGCACGAUGGGCGGAGGCCUGAUGCAGCGACGCCGCGUGGGGGAUGGCGGCCUUCGGGUUGUAAACUCCUUUCGACCGCGAGGAAGCCACCUGGUUGGAAGGGUGGUGACGGUAGUGGUAGAAGAAGCACCGGCUAACUACGUG